CAGCCAUCCUUUAGCCUAGGAACAACCUUUGUGCAUCUAAUUUUAGCCUCAAAAUUUUAUAAAGCCGUGAAGCUUAUACAGCCUCCUUUUGGCCUACGGAUCAUUGACUCACGGUCAAUGGAAUACAAUCACGAGGUACGCCACGGAAAAUGGAGGAACGACGGGUGGCCAGGGCGGUGACACUAUCUAUGUCUCUAACGAGGCCCAACUUGUCGCCGCUGUGACCGGAGACGACCCUCGUAUUGUAAAGAUCACUUCAAACAUCGCGCUCUCCGCGGUAGUUCGGCCAGGGUCGAAUAAAUCCAUUCUGGGUGCCGGUCCAACCGCGGGAGUGACGGGAUCCGGUUUCUACAUCCGUCGCCAACGUAACGUCAUCAUCUGCGGGCUUAAAAUUUCUUACGCGAUCGCGCCCGACGAUGGUGUCUCCAUCGAUGAAUCUACUAACGUGUGGGUCGAUCAUAACGAAUUUUUCGCGGAUCGAGAACACCGCAAGGAUUACUAUGACGGACAAUUGGACGUUAAACAUGCCGCAGAUUUUAUUACCGUGUCACGGAACAAGUUUCAUGACUCUUACAAAACGAGUUUUAUCGGACAUUCGGACAAUAAUGCGGACGAGGAUACGGGAAAGCUCCGCAUCACCUACAACAACAACUGGUUCACCGAUGUCGGAUCCCGCCUUCCUUCCCUGCGUUUCGGAACUGGCCACAUUUACAACAAUUUGUACGAAAGGGUGGACACUUCCGGGAUAAAUAGUCGAAUGGGGGCACAAGUCUUGGUUGAGAGGAACGUCUUCAUCGAAACGGUUGUCCCCCUCACGACAAAUCUCGACAGCGCUAGAAGGAUUCGCUGUAGAGCGGGAGAACGACUGGGGUGAUUCGGAACCCAACAUUACGCAAGAAGGAUCAUUCACGAAUCCGCCGUAUUCCUAUGAGAUGGAAGAAGUGGCCCGAGUUGCGACCGUUGUCCGAGCCGGGGCGGGAGCUACGAUCAGUUUUCCUUAAAAUAUGUAAAUGAAAAUUUGAAUUGAGUUUCAAAAUUACAUGAAUAAAAAAUGAGUUACGAGCCGAGA
This is an RNA transcript of Folsomia candida, 1069 nucleotides long. It is a transcript of the gene named pectate lyase A, with no coding region annotated. Lineage: Eukaryota; Metazoa; Arthropoda; Collembola; Entomobryomorpha; Isotomidae. The transcript is spliced from 4 exons. The record is from RefSeq and is a predicted model, not a curated record.